CACCAUCCAACCGCUCCUUCUGCCUGCUAGGCCUACAAAUACUUGGACCAAGAGCAGCCAGAAGACCCAAAAUAAGCAGCAUACAUCCCGGCCAGAGGCAAUGAGCUCCCAGUUUUAAGCAAGGACGUGUGUGAUGCAGGAGCUCUCAAUGUGAUGGAGACCAGAGGCAAAGAAGUGCCCAGUGCUUCUUGUUGUUCUUGUUCGUCGUCGUUUUUUUAACCUACGAAGACCUGAAGGUCUCAAACCUUUCUCAAGACUUCUGUUUUGGUGCAGAGCCUGCCUAUUGCUGGGGAACCAACUGAAUUAGUGUGGCUGCUAUGUGAUGGGAGUCCAUGUAUAUAACAGUGAAAUUUGGUAGGCAGCAGCACAGCAUGUCCUGGGGAGCAGGGAGUCACCACCCAUGGGCACAAGGACUGGGCUGAAGGAGGUAUGGAGGGAGAAGCAGAGCCCUCCUGCAGGCACCCACUCUGGGUAGGCAGCAGAACACUGCAGCUGCCGUUGUUCUUUCCAUGGGCUUUGCUCUUCGGUUCACCCCCUGAUGAACCGAUAAGUGCAACAACAGUUAGUUUCUUUCAAAAGACCUCCAACGACUCGCUUAGGAAACUGCAGAUGUUAAAUUCAGUUUAGAACUGCAACCAACUUCCUCCAGGCAGAGUGAGUGGGAGAUAAAUUACAGCAACUGAAUGCACAGAGGUAUUUCUGGAGGCACUAGCUGCCAAAAUUAGGAUUAUAGUCAUAGAAUAGCACCAUUUGGGACUGUCAGGAUAACUGAGCCCAGCUCCUGGCUCCACACAGCACUGCCCACAACUAAGCCAUACGUCCCUUGCCCAAACACUUCUCCAAUUCCAGCAGCUUUGGUGCUGUGAUGGCUCCCCUGGGAGCCUCUUCAUCAGCGGCCUUUGCAGAGCCCCACAUAACACUGCAGAGCUCAGUUUCAAGUGUCUGCAGUUCCACAGAGGGUUCUAUGAGGCACCAACUGCUCACUGAGUCUGAAGCCAAGAUCCUGUGGUUUAACCUCAGCGCUUUUGGGGUUUCUUUUCUUGUCGCUUCUACCCAAAGUAUACUGAGGGAUGCAAAUAGGUGUUCCAGUUGGUGAGAGGGGAAAUGUUUUCCUUCUCCUUUGUUGGGUCAGUUGCCAUAGGCGGCGGUUUUGUCUGGAUCCAGGCGUCCUCUAGGGAAAGCAAAAAGAAAAACUGCAACUCCUAGCAAGACAGGAGGAAAAACCAGUUUGUCUGCAGUAUCUCCAGCCCUCUCACACCUGACCAGAGAGACCACAUUCUGAGGCACUACAGAACUCAACAG
This 1302-nucleotide long non-coding RNA is filed under the name Gallus gallus (chicken). RNAcentral's name for it is "lncRNA (ENSGALG00010029824.1)". Lineage: Eukaryota; Metazoa; Chordata; Aves; Galliformes; Phasianidae. The record is from RNAcentral.